Molecule: long non-coding RNA, 223 nt
Filed under: Mytilus galloprovincialis (Mediterranean mussel)
Lineage: Eukaryota; Metazoa; Mollusca; Bivalvia; Mytilida; Mytilidae
Source: RNAcentral
CAGCUGCAUCAUGUAUUGUCCCAACAGUUUUGUCGUCUAAAUGUGUUUUUAAGUCUAAAUGAACACAUUGUUUGAACUCUUCUAAUAACAUCAAUUGUCUUAGGUUAUCAAAAUUGUUAUCUGUUUUCUUUGACGUAAGCCAUUUAUCAAAUAGAUCUUCUUUUUCCCGAGCAAAUUCCACAUAGGUUUGUGAAUCAAACUUUUUAUAAGAUCUAAAUUUCUG